UUGCUUAGCUGGCAGGGGAGAUACCAUGAUCAGGGAGGUGGUUUUCCCAGGGCGAGUCUGACCCAUCACACUGGAUGUGCUGACGCCCAAGAUUUCCCCAAACGUGGUGGGAAGCUCGACUGCAUCAUUUGUGGUGGUGGGGAACUGAGUUCGUGAUUUCCCCU
This 164-nucleotide small nuclear RNA is filed under the name Catagonus wagneri (Chacoan peccary). Its description in RNAcentral is "U1 spliceosomal RNA (ENSCWAG00000000313.1)". It matches the Rfam family "U1 spliceosomal RNA". Rfam says of the family: U1 is a small nuclear RNA (snRNA) component of the spliceosome (involved in pre-mRNA splicing). Lineage: Eukaryota; Metazoa; Chordata; Mammalia; Artiodactyla; Tayassuidae. The record is from Rfam by way of RNAcentral.